This 244-nucleotide ribosomal RNA is filed under the name uncultured bacterium. Its description in RNAcentral is "partial 16S ribosomal RNA". It matches the Rfam family "Bacterial small subunit ribosomal RNA", at positions 32 to 255 of the family's 1533-position model. The record is from RNAcentral.
AAUCAACGCUGGCGGCGUGCCUAACACAUGCAAGUCGAGCGGGAAAGGGGCUUCGGUCCCUGAGUAUAGCGGCGGACGGGUGAGUAACACGUGGGUAAUUUGCCCUUGGGUGUGGAAUAACUCAGGGAAACUUGAGCUAAUACCGCAUGACAUCCCCUUCACACACGAGUUGGGGAUCAAAGCCGGGGACCCUUCGGGGCCUGGCGCCUGAGGAGAAGCCCGCGCCCGAUUAGCUAGUUGGNGA